RNAcentral lists this ribosomal RNA (329 nucleotides) under uncultured eukaryote. RNAcentral describes it as "partial 18S ribosomal RNA". It matches the Rfam family "Eukaryotic small subunit ribosomal RNA", at positions 1470 to 1796 of the family's 1831-position model. The record is from RNAcentral.
CCCUUAGAUGUUCUGGGCCACACGCGCGCUACACUGGUGCAUUCAACGAGUCUAAAACCUGCUCUGAUAGGGGUGGGUAAUCUUUUGAAUGUGCAUCGUGAUUGGGAUAGAUGAUUGCAAUUUUUCAUCUUCAACGAGGAAUGCCUAGUAAACGCAAGUCAUCAGCUUGCAUUGAUUACGUCCCUGCCCUUUGUACACACCGCCCGUCGCUCCUACCGAUUGAAUGAUCCGAUGAAUAUCAUGGAUUGAGGAUGCAAGCAGGUUCGCCUGUCUUCAUCUUCGAGAAGUGAAGUAAAUCUUAUCAUUUAGAGGAAGGAGAAGUCGUAACA